Molecule: ribosomal RNA, 308 nt
Filed under: Salmonella enterica
Lineage: Bacteria; Pseudomonadati; Pseudomonadota; Gammaproteobacteria; Enterobacterales; Enterobacteriaceae
Description: bacterial SSU rRNA
Rfam family: Bacterial small subunit ribosomal RNA
Source: RNAcentral
ACCUUCGGGCCUCUUGCCAUCAGAUGUGCCCAGAUGGGAUUAGCUUGUUGGUGAGGUAACGGCUCACCAAGGCGACGAUCCCUAGCUGGUCUGAGAGGAUGACCAGCCACACUGGAACUGAGACACGGUCCAGACUCCUACGGGAGGCAGCAGUGGGGAAUAUUGCACAAUGGGCGCAAGCCUGAUGCAGCCAUGCCGCGUGUAUGAAGAAGGCCUUCGGGUUGUAAAGUACUUUCAGCGGGGAGGAAGGUGUUGUGGUUAAUAACCGCAGCAAUUGACGUUACCCGCAGAAGAAGCACCGGCUAACU